Acinonyx jubatus (cheetah) is the source of this 7520-nucleotide RNA transcript. It is a transcript of the gene named URB1 ribosome biogenesis homolog, with no coding region annotated. The record is from RefSeq and is a predicted model, not a curated record. The transcript has 41 exons. NCBI's taxonomy places the organism in Eukaryota, Metazoa, Chordata, Mammalia, Carnivora, Felidae.
GCCGAGGUUGUACUCUGCUGUCCGCGCGUCCUCUUGCCGGGUUUCCUGGUGUGUAGAUCCCGGCGCGCCCCUGCCCUCUCGGCCAUGGGGGUCCCCAAGAGGAAGGCCGCGGGCGGCCAGGACAGUACGGCUCUCCGCGCGGGCGCAGCCAAGCGGCCCCGCUCCGAAGAGCUCACGGGCGUGCGCUUCAAGGCUGAGCUGCGGGGUCCGCAGGGCGCGGAGCCGGCCUUGGAAGCAUUUGUCGCUGCUGCCAAGAAGCUACCGAGGGAAGACGUGUAUGAUGUUGUGGAAGGGUACAUAAAGAUUUCGGUUGAAUGUGCAGAGAUUUUCCAGCUCCUGAGCGGGGAGAAGCGGCCGGAAAGUGAAACACUAUUAAUAUUUCAAGUUUUUGAGGCCAUACUAUUGCGGACAGCGAGCGACCUUUCCCAUUUUCAUGUUGUGGGAACCAACAUCGUGAAAAAGCUGCUGAACAGCCACAUGAAGCUCAUCUGUGAGUCCCUGUAUGCCUCGGGCUACAGGAUGGCUCGAGCCUGUCUCAACCUGAUGGCCGCCAUGGUGACCCAGGGUCCUGAGGCCGCCAGGGACGUCUGCAGCCAUUUUGAUUUGAAUAAAAAGACCUUGUACACCCUGGCGACCAAGAGGGAUUCAAAGGGUGUGCACGACGUCCGGCUGGCCUACAUUCAGUUCGCCCUCUCCUUUCUGAUCGCCGGUGAUGACAGCACGAUAGCACAGGUGCUGGAGUUGAAAGAAUUUAUUCCUUGCAUUUUUAGCUCGGGCAUAAAGGAAGACAGGAUUUCUACCGUCAAUAUUUUGUUAUCCACGCUGAAAACAAAGGUAGUUCACAAUAAAAAUAUCACAAAAACCCAGAAGGUGCGUUUCUUUACGGGGCAGUUGUUGAACCAUAUAGCAGCUCUCUACAGCUGGAAUGGGAUUGUUGACGUGAACCUGGAACAUGGCAAGACUUCUUCUGAGGACGCAGGGAAGAUCCUGGUGAGGGAGCUUGUUCACACCUUCCUGAUGGAUCUUUGCUGUUCGCUCAAGCAUGGGAUUAAUUUUUACGACGCAUCUUUCGGUACCAUCGGCAGAGGCGGGAACCUGACCCUCCUGCACUUCCUGUUGGGUUUGAAAACUGCAGCAGACGACGAGCUGGUGGCCGAGCUGGUGGUGAACAUCCUCAAAGUGUGCCCGGACUUGCUGAACAAGUACUUCAAGGAAGUAACAUUUUCCUUUCUGCCCAGAGCGAAGUCCACUUGGUCAAAUAACAUCAAACUACUGAACAAGAUCUAUGAAGCCCAGCCAGAUGUUUCCCGGGCCUUUCAGACCAGAGAGUUCGUCCCCUUGCCUCGGCUCCUGGCAAUGGUGAUGGUGACCACCGUGCCCCUGGUGUGCAAUAAGACGAUGUUCACCCAGGCAUUAAAUUUGGACAGCAUAUCAGUGAAACACACAGCCUUGUCCCUUGUUUCCGUCAUUUUGAAAAGAGCAUUAAAAACGAUCGAGCACUGCCUGAAUAAAGAGACGUGGCAGGAAUUAGGCGUGUACACAGCCGCAGCGAUAGAAGAGUUCGUGCGCCUCUUCAGAGAAGCCCUGAGCAAGGUCUUACCAGACCUGAACACCAUCGUGUGGGUCUGGCAGUCACUUCGAAAGCAGGAGACAAAACAGGAUGAUGAGAAAGGAAAGAAAAGGGGCAUCCAGACUCCUGCUGCCUGCGUGGCUCCCCAGUGCGAUGAUGCGGAAACCAUUCUUCUGAAGGCUGUUCUGCUCCAGGUCAUAUGCCUGUACCAGAAGGUGGUCCCACACGUGGUCCUGCAGUACAACUUCGACUUCAGCAAGCUCCUGAAAGGAGUCAUCUCCGAGCAGGGCCUUCGAGAGGAGGUGCCUCCCAUUCUGCAGCACCACAUCCUGAAGGUGGCCCUGGAGCUGCCCGCCAGCAAGUUCUUGUGGUUAAAGGCACAGGAAGGCCCAGAGGCAGAAAUUAUUGGAGGAGAACGAUCUGUGUUUUACUUGCUGAUGAAAAUGUUCGUGACCAGUAGCCAUCUACAGCUCAAGUCAUCCACCAAACUUCUGAUCACAAAGAUUCUUCGGGACACGGGGGUGUUUGAGCACACCUGGAAGGAGCUGGAGCUGUGGCUGGAGCACUUACAGGACACCGUGGAAGAGAAGAGAGAAACCGUGAUUCAGUUUUUGGAACGCGUUUUACUGACAUUGGUGGCGAAUCCCUAUUCCUACACAGACAAAGCAUCUGACUUUGUCCAGGAAGCCAGCACACUGCAGGCCGCGGGGACGAAGCAGGAGGCUGAUGAUGUCAGCAUUCCGGUCUCCCACAUCGAUGAUGUUCUUGACAUGGUGGACGUCCUGGUGGAGGACAGCGAAGGCUUAGAUGAGGAAAUUGGAUUCUUACUGAACGAAGACAUGAUCCUGCUCACGUUCCCUUUCAGUGCGGUGGUCCCUGCGGCCCUGGAAGCCAGGAAUAAGUUGCUCCUUGGGACGGAAAGUGAAACAGGAGAGAGCAUCGUGGCUUAUGUGACGGCGGUGCUGACAGACCUCCUCCACACCCAGAGGGACCCGCUGGCUCUGUGUCUGCUGCUUCAGGCUUAUGACAAGUUGGAGCCUCCGGUGCCACCCUGCUGCCGCCAGCUCUGUCGGUUCCACACGUACUACAGCCGCUGGAUCCCAGAGCCAGUCCGCGAGGCCUUGCCCUUUCAGACGCCGGGCAGUCUCGCCCCCCAGGGUCCUCCGGCCUCUUCCUUCUCCGCCCUGUUGCAGACGGCCUACGAGAGCGAGGGUGCGCUCCUGGACGAGCAGGUUCAGGCGCGGCUGCGGGCCGCCCUCCCGCACCUCCCGAUGCACCAGGUCCUGCGCUCGGCGAAGCACCUGCUGCUCUACAUCAGGAGCACCGUGGAGACCUUCGGCCAGCUGGGCCGAAGCGCAGGGCCCCCCGUCCUGCAGCUCCUCCUGGACCUCCUCAGGCUUCUGGUCGUCCACUGUGCGCAGCUGGACGCGCAGAACCAGCAGAAACGCGAGGCCGCCCAGGCCGAAUCCGACCUCUUUUUGGACGUGGAGUCCGUGGCCUCGCUGGAGCUGGCCAGUGACAAGACGCUGGAGGAGGUGCUGGUGGCCAUCCUCAGACAUCCCACGCUGGAGGGCUGGUACCUGGCCCUGGAGCGACGGGCCCUCCCUCCGCACACCCUCAGCCCCAUCCUCGUGAAGCUCCUGGCGGCCCAGCUCGGUGCGGGGGUCCUGCAGCUGCUGCUGGCGAGCGCCCCGAUCCUCCGGAGCAUCCGUCAGCUGGGCCUCCUGGCCGGGUACUCGGAGGCCAUCACCCGGAGCGUGUUGAACGAGCUGCAGAACAGGAGGGCGGGCCGGGCCACGUCUCGGGCAGAGACCCUCCCGCAGCUGGAGGCCCUGCAGGAGCUGCAUCUGUACAUGGAGGGCGCCCAGCUCCGUGAGGUCACCCUGGCUUUGCUGAGCCUGCCCGAGGCCCAGCUGGUGGCCCCGGGACCCCCGAAGUCCCCCGGGAAGGAGAGACACCUGAACGCUCUCGGCAAGACCCUGGUCCAGCUGUUGACCCGCAGCCCCCAGGAUCAGCUGCAGAGCAGCGAGCUCCUUUGGGCCUCUGAGUUUGUGAAAGGCCUGGGGGCUUUGCUCCCCACAUUGGCCGUGGACGAGCUGGAUGCCGUGUUUCUCCACACUCUACAGAGAGAGCCCGUGCUGGUCCCCGUGGUCGGGGUCGACGUGCUGGACUACUGCCUGGCCCGGCAGACGCAGGUGGCCCUCAGCACCGCCGCCCUACUCGUGCGGCUGAGCUCCACCCACCUGCUGCGGUUUGAGCUGUGGUGCGGGCGGCCCGGCUCGGGACUCUGCCUCCAGGAAGGCCUCGACGACUUCCUCCCCCUCGUCCACGUGUACCUCCGGUGCAGGACGUGGGGACGCUUCACACGCCCGGCGGGAGUGUCCUCUGCUGUCAUUCCCGUCUUGAGGAAAGCUCUGUGGAGGCAGCUACAGACCAGGCUUCUCAGUGCGGAUGGGGCCCCAGGGUCUGGGCUGCAUCACGAGGUCCUGGCCCAGCUGGUCCCGUUUGCAAGAGCCAAGGACCUUGGUAUCCUCAUGGACCGUUUGCCUAGCCUGCUUCAGACCCCAGGCAGGCACGAGAGCUGGAGCGUGGCCGACUCUGUGUCUGCAGUCCUGGACGGGUCGGCAGAAGAGCUGCGUGCCUGGAGAAGGACUCUGUUGGCGUCCUGUGUAAAGUGGCUGGUCGUGUCUUUCAGUGGUGACCAGCAAGGCCGGGACGGCACCCAGGAUCAGGAGAGGCAGAUGCUGCUGAGAUUUAGUGAGCUGUUGAAUUUCCUUAAUGAAGUGGAUCCUGGAGAUUGGCAGAAAUUUGUGAAGACUGGACUCAAAUUUCGGUAUCAGGACCACAUGUUUUUAAAGGCCCUCCAUGCUGCCAUACAACGCCUGUACCUUCCGGAAAACUCCGUGUGCACGCAGCUCACCCAGCUUCCAGCGAUCCACAUGAUGCUCACACAGCAUUCUCUGUUUUUGCCGACUCUACUCAAGUCUGAAGAAGAGGAAAACCCAGACAGUCAAGUAAAAGAAGCGCUGGUGGAUCUGAUGUCAGUGGUGGUAAAGCUGUGUCCCUCUGUCUGUGAAAGCAGUCACUUUUCAGUGCUCCUUGGGGCCUAUGGCGCCACUCUCAGUGUCCUGGACCAGAAGAUUCUGCUUCUCCUCCGGGCGUAUGAACAGAACGACCUCAGCCUUGUGCACUUCAGAGUGCUGCUGUGGGGCCCAGUGGCUGUGGAGCAUCACAAGACGUGCCGGAGUCUGGGCAAGUCGCUGUGGCAGCAGCCGAGCGUCGGGGACAUCCUCCGCCUGCUGGAUCGGGACCGGAUGAUGAAGACCAUCCUCCACUUCCCCCAGAACCGGAGGCUGCUGCCCCCUGAGGAUGGACAGGAACUGAUCUUCAAAGACAGGAGCACAGUGGAUCUAGAUGGCCUUUAUGACCCCUGCUUUCUCCUGCAUCUCUUCAGUGAAUUGACCAGGCCAGAAUUUGUGGUAGAUUGUCGAAAAUUUUUGGACUCCAAUUCUCUGGGCCUAACCGUCGCGGCCCUCAGCAGCUAUGACCCCCAGAUGCGAGCUGCGGCCUAUUACGUCCUGGCGGCCUACUACUCGCAGCUGGAGGGGGCACGGUUCCGAGAGCAGCCCCAGCUACUUUACCUGUUGGAUGUAGUCCGGAAUGGGAUCCGAACUCAGAACAUGAGACUCACCUUUACCUUGACUCUCUUCAUUGCCAAAGCAGCCCUGCAGAUUUUGAAACCAGAGGAACACAUGUACCUGAAGAUCAGCAAGUUCCUGCUGUCACACGAGUACUUGAAUAUGAACAAGGUUCCAGGCUUCUACCAGUUCUUCUUCAGCUCAGACUUUGAGCAAAAGACGGAACAGGAAUGGGUGUUCGGGAUCCUGCGGCAGGGGAUGCGGGACAAACACUGCUAUGAGCUCUACGCCCGGCGAGGGGUCUUCCACACCAUCCUGGCCUUCUUCAGCAGCCCCCUGUGUGACGACGAGGCACAGAUUUGGAUUCUGGAAAUUCUACAGAACGCUGCCCGGGAUGCCCAGUCUGCCUACGAGAUCCUACGGGACUAUAGCCUUUUAACGUGGGUUUUACACAUCCUUGAGAGCAAGUUUCUGGAGACGCAGCUCCUGUCCAACAUAAUCUCCUUGCUGCACACACUGUGGGUGACCAACCUGGGGGACAAGGGAGUGGAGUCUGAGGGCCCGCCUCCUCCCAAGUCAGGGUCCCAGGAGCCCCCGAAGCUGCUCGCCCUGCAUCUGGUCAGCGAGUUCCUGUAUGUUCUCAUUGUGCUCACAAAGCACCUGAGGCCGACCUUGGCCCCCGCCCAGCUGACCGGCUUCUUUGGGGCGCUCGAGUCCGUGCUGAGGUACCGGGCCACCGUCGUGCAGGCCUUCAAGGACAUGAACCGCUUCACAGUGAACGAGACAGUGCUGUCCACCAAGGAUGUCCUCGUCCUCCUGCACAAGUGGAGCCUCAUCGAGAGAGAUGCCAAGCUCCAGGACGACCUGAGAGCAGCCAUUGAGCAAUACCAAGUCAAGGAGCUGCUGAAAAUGUGCAAGGAUAAGAACAAGCCCGCCGUGCCAGCCCGAGCUAAAGGCCCGCGGGGCCGAAAGAGGAGGCCUGGGGAGGAGGAGGAGACGGCCGACCCUGAGCCGCAGGCGUCCACCUUGGAGACGUGCAAGGGCCUCUUGAGGUCCAUACUGACCCACUGGGGGCCCGCGUUCCCCGGCCCUGACUGUGCUCGGGGCCCCGUGGACGGGGCUGCCCCUGAGAGCGAGGCCCCGGGCCUCGCGUGUGCCACCGCCUCCCUGGCGGCCGGCUGGGUGCUGCGGUCGGUGGCCGAGCACCCGCCCAGCAGGGCAGAGGCUUUGGGACUCCUUGGCUGGCUGAAGAGCCACAUCUUGCCACAGCCGGUGGUCGUGGCAGAGCUUCUCGGGGACCGUGCUGUGAGGAGUAGCAUCUUCAGGCUGUACAGCCAGUCCUGCAGCGCCGAGCAGCUGGCGGGCCCCGCGCAGAGCGUGGCCUGCCUCUUCAACACGGUCAUGCUGCAGCUGGCGGCCCAGGGCCCGGCGGGGGGCGCCUUCCACCCGGCGGUCGAGACCCUCUGCCUCUCGUCUCUGAAGGAGAAGGACGAAGCCACCCGAGCCACCGCAGUGUUCCUGGUAUCUCUGUACAUUAAGGACGUCUGGCUGGGGGCUCAGCGGCCAGACACCCUCCUAACCCACAUCCAGAUGAUCCGUGACGCCACAGAGGACGCGCCAAAGGGUGACGAGGAGGCUGUCGUCAUGCUCUGCAAGGACAUCGCCGCCUUGGUCCCCAACGCUUGAUGCCCUGCCCUCCGGUGCCUUCUGGCACCAGGUUCUAGAAGGUACCUCUUGGGGCUAUAAAUCUGCCCAAAUUUCACGUGAGUGGUAAAAACUGGAAGAAAAGGACGGAGGUCUGCAUUUGCUCAGAAGCUGGCCCGGCCUCUCCCCCCGUGACCAUAGGGAACCGGCAGUGACUUGAACAUGGAUGUGAUGAUGAGGGACAUGUCCGGGGGAUGGCAGAGCAAUGAGCUGGAAGGAAGCUGCUUUCUGAGGAUCUCAUGGACCAGACCCACCACGCUGUCCUGCAGACUUUUAGGUGAAAGAGAAAUUAACCUCGGCUUUGUCCGGUACUCCGUUAAUUAUAACCAGUUUUCCUUAUUGAGUCAGGAGAAGGAGCCAGCUUUUUAAAUGAGCAUAUCAAAACUUACAAAUCCAAAUGAAUGCUGACGUUCAAAAUAAUCAUCCUCUCUCUCUCAUAGAGUCAUACAAAUUUUUCUAAAAUACAUGUCUUGGGGCACCUGGGUGGCUCAGUGGGUUGAGCAACCGACUUCAGCUCAGGUCAUGAUCUCGCAGUUUGUGAGUUCAAGCCCCACGUCGGGCUCUGUGCUGACAGCUCAGAGCCUAGAGCCUACUUCAGAUUCUGUGUC